UGGAAUCGCUAGGAAGCGUAGAUCAGCAUGCUACGGUGAAGACGUUCCCGAGUCUUGUACACACCGCCCGUCACACCACGAGAGUUUGUAACACCCGAAGCCGGUGGAGUAACCAUUUGGAGCUAGCCGUCGAAGGUGGGACAAAUGAUUGGGGUGAAGUCGUAACAAGGUAGCCGUAUCGGAAGGUGCGACUGGAUCACCUCCUUUCUAAGGA
Molecule: ribosomal RNA, 214 nt
Filed under: Staphylococcus epidermidis
Lineage: Bacteria; Bacillati; Bacillota; Bacilli; Caryophanales; Staphylococcaceae
Description: partial 16S ribosomal RNA
Rfam family: Bacterial small subunit ribosomal RNA
Source: RNAcentral